CCCUUAGAUGUUCUGGGCUGCACGCGCGCUACACUGAAGCGUUCAACGAGUAUUCACCUUGCCCGGGAGGGUUGGGUAAUCUUUUGAAAACGCUUCGUGAUGGGGAUAGAUUAUUGCAAUUAUUAAUCUUCAACGAGGAAUUCCUAGUAAGCGCGAGUCAUCAGCUCGUGCUGAUUACGUCCCUGCCCUUUGUACACACCGCCCGUCGCUACUACCGAUUGGGAAAAUUUUAGAGAGUCCUGGACUGAUGAUUGUUCGGCUUCACGGCCUUACUUUCGUCGGGAAAGAAUUCGAUAAUAGUUUUCUAGAGGAAGUAAAAGUCGUAACA
RNAcentral lists this ribosomal RNA (328 nucleotides) under uncultured eukaryote. Its description in RNAcentral is "partial 18S ribosomal RNA". It matches the Rfam family "Eukaryotic small subunit ribosomal RNA", at positions 1470 to 1796 of the family's 1831-position model. The record is from RNAcentral.